This 438-nucleotide ribosomal RNA is filed under the name Plantibacter sp. R-46164. Its description in RNAcentral is "bacterial SSU rRNA". It matches the Rfam family "Bacterial small subunit ribosomal RNA", at positions 21 to 457 of the family's 1533-position model. The record is from RNAcentral. Lineage: Bacteria; Bacillati; Actinomycetota; Actinomycetes; Micrococcales; Microbacteriaceae.
GGCUCAGGACGAACGCUGGCGGCGUGCUUAACACAUGCAAGUCGAACGAUGAACUAGGAGCUUGCUCUUGGGGAUUAGUGGCGAACGGGUGAGUAACACGUGAGUAACCUGCCCUUGACUCUGGGAUAAGCGUUGGAAACGACGUCUAAUACCGGAUACGAGCUUCCACCGCAUGGUGAGUUGCUGGAAAGAAUUUUGGUCAAGGAUGGACUCGCGGCCUAUCAGCUUGUUGGUGAGGUAAUGGCUCACCAAGGCGACGACGGGUAGCCGGCCUGAGAGGGUGACCGGCCACACUGGGACUGAGACACGGCCCAGACUCCUACGGGAGGCAGCAGUGGGGAAUAUUGCACAAUGGGCGAAAGCCUGAUGCAGCAACGCCGCGUGAGGGACGACGGCCUUCGGGUUGUAAACCUCUUUUAGCAGGGAAGAAGCGAAAGU